CCUACGGGAGGCAGCAGUGGGGAAUUUUGGACAAUGGGCGCAAGCCUGAUCCAGCCAUGCCGCGUGUGGGAAGAAGGCCUUCGGGUUGUAAGCCACUUUUGUCAGGGAAGAAACGGUCUGAACUAAUACUUUGGACUAAUGACGGUACCUGAAGAAUAAGCACCGGCUAACUACGUGCCAGCAGCCGCGGUAAUACGUAGGGUGCAAGCGUUAAUCGGAAUUACUGGGCGUAAAGCGUGCGCAGGCGGCUUUGCAAGACAGAUGUGAAAUCCCCGGGCUCAACCUGGGAACUGCAUUUGUGACUGCAUGGCUAGAGUACGGUAGAGGGGGAUGGAAUUCCGCGUGUAGCAGUGAAAUGCGUAGAUAUGCGGAGGAACACCGAUGGCGAAGGCAAUCCCCUGGACCUGUACUGACGCUCAUGCACGAAAGCGUGGGGAGCAAACAGGAUUAGAUACCCUGGUAGUCCACGCCCUAAACGAUGUCAACUGGUUGUUGGGAGGGUUUCUUCUCAGUACGAAGCUAACGCGUGAAGUUGACCGCCUGGGGAGGUAACGGUCGCGAGUUAGUAACGUUACGAAGAAGUUAGNGGNGNGAGAGNGCGACGGACGACGACGAGGGAGGAGG
This 624-nucleotide ribosomal RNA is filed under the name uncultured bacterium. RNAcentral's name for it is "bacterial SSU rRNA". The stretch from base 1 to 541 matches the Rfam family "Bacterial small subunit ribosomal RNA", at positions 338 to 873 of the family's 1533-position model. The record is from RNAcentral.